GCCGGGAUGGCGGAAUUGGUAGACGCACGGGACUCAAAAUCCCGCGCCGCAAGGCGUGCCGGUUCGAUUCCGGCUCCCGGCACCA
Molecule: transfer RNA, 85 nt
Filed under: Burkholderiales bacterium
Lineage: Bacteria; Pseudomonadati; Pseudomonadota; Betaproteobacteria; Burkholderiales
Description: tRNA-Leu
Rfam family: tRNA
About the family: Transfer RNA (tRNA) molecules are approximately 80 nucleotides in length.
Source: RNAcentral